GGCCUGGCUUGUGACGCCCGCUCCAAAAGGCAUGAGACUGAUGCGGGUUUCCCCGGGUGCCCGGGCCUCUCCAAACUGGGAGAGCUUGCCGGAGGUGCCCACCGAGGGGCGACCCAGGACUGCGCUUGGUCACCCACGAUGCCCACGUACCGGAUCCGCGGCUCGCACCGCCCAGCGUGUAGCCAGCCUGCGGCGCGCUUCCGGGUAGGACACGUGACUCAGCCACAUGACCGGGGCCUGCUUUGUGGGUUCGAGCCCCGCCCCGUCAGGCAUUGCUCACCCUUCAGGCUACUGUGCUUGCUGGUCACCCGCCGCUAGGGAGCCGUGCCACGUUCACCCUGGCAUAAGUAGGUAUCUCACUGCCUUUAGAGGCACCAGCUGAGCCGGUGACAUUUCUAGAGUCUCUUUUGCUUGAUUUAGCUAAAGGGAUUCCCCACAGAUUUACAGAAGGGGCAACUGAGAACCCCGAGGGAACCCCCUUGCUGAAGAAGGAACAAAUGGAACCAGAACCCAGGUUUCCUUGCACCUUCACCUGGCCCUUCCCAGCCUUUCGUUUUCUUGCCGAAUCUAGUUGUAGGUGAAAGGUACCCUUUUUGUGGGUGCUUUCCCUUACUUACCUCCAGGGGGCGGAACCCGUGUGUCUUAGUCAGGGUUUCUAUUCCUGCACAAACAUCAUGACCAAGAAGCAGUUUGGGGAGGAAAGGGUUUAUUCGGCUUACACUUCCAUACUGUUGUUCAUCACCAAAGGAAGUCAGGACUGGAACUCGAGCAGGUCAGGAAGCAGGAGCUGAUGCAGAAGCCAUGGAGGGAUGUUCUUUACUGGCUUGCUCAGCCUGCUCUCUUAUAGAACCCAAGACCACCAGCCCAGAGAUGGUCCCACCCACAAGGGGCUUUUCCCCCUUGAUCACUAAUUGAGGAAAUGCCUUACAGCUGGAUCUCAUGGAGGCAUUUCCUCAACUGAAGCUCCUUUCUCUGUGAUAACCCCAGCUGUGUCGAGUUGACACAAAACCAGCCAGUACACCAUGCAGAAGAGCCCAGCUACCUUUGGGCUCCUUGAUUUACAAAGGUUCCCAGUCUGACUGAGGGCUGCAUACACAUUAGGGCUUUUGUCUUGAACCUGCGAGUGAUUGCAUACUAUCAAGAUUUUUAUGUGUAUUUGGAGGGGCAGAAAGAGUGAAGAAGGCCAAUGGAGUCCACAGAAGAGGUUGGGCGCCUACCACAGGUCCUCAUUGGGUACCUUGGUGCUUCUGAGAAACUUUGUGUACGACCCAGCAUGAGCACUCCGCACCCACUAGGCAGAGGCCAAGAGCCAGUGCUGCGGCCACUCUAGCUACCUAAGGUACAAUUAAACAACAUCGCAAACGCCUGCGCCUGCGCCUUCGCCACCACCCUGCUCAGCCAGGCUCCACAGUACAGCCACAAGCAUCAGUCUCCUGGAGUCCUGAAUCUGCCGACACUAUCCUGACUUCGGUCGGUCAUUUCCCCCUUGUUUCAAACAGUUUGUAAGCCUGAAUAACUGUUACCCGUGAACAAUUUAUAACUAAUCUAGUCCAUGUUACCUGAUGCUAGUGACUUGUGUCUUGCAGAUGACUAAAGAAUGGCGCCGAUCAUCUCUUCAUGUGGUUUUUCUCUUCAUUUGUGUAGCUUUAAAAUUUUUUUUGCUUUCAAAUAAACAUUUAUUCAUAUCUUCUACCCCUUUUAUUAUUAUUAUUAUUAAUCUAUUUUUAGCCAUUGACUUAUUAUUGGAUUGUAAGAUUUCUUUAUGUUGUAGAUAUGUUUUAAGUUAGAUAUAUAUUAAAAAUACCAUUAUU
Molecule: long non-coding RNA, 1811 nt
Filed under: Mus musculus (house mouse)
Lineage: Eukaryota; Metazoa; Chordata; Mammalia; Rodentia; Muridae
Description: long non-coding RNA chr19:42779763-42781574
Source: RNAcentral